Molecule: ribosomal RNA, 293 nt
Filed under: uncultured bacterium
Lineage: Bacteria
Description: partial 16S ribosomal RNA
Source: RNAcentral
GGACUACCAGGGUAUCUAAUCCUGUUCGCUCCCCACGCUUUCGCUCCUCAGUGUCAGAAUCGGCCCAGAGUGCCGCCUUCGCUACGGGUGUUCCUCCUGAUAUCUGCGCAUUUCACCGCUCCACCAGGAAUUCCACACUCCCCUACCGACCUCUAGUCAUGGCAGUAUCGAAUGACCCCUCCAGGUUGAGCCUGGAGAUUUCACAUCCGACUUACCAAACCACCUACGAGCUCUUUACGCCCAAUAAAUCCGGACAACGCUUGCCCCCUACGUAUUACCGCGGCUGCUGGCAC